Long non-coding RNA from Poecilia reticulata (guppy), 4027 nucleotides. RefSeq lists it as uncharacterized. The record is from RefSeq and is a predicted model, not a curated record. Lineage: Eukaryota; Metazoa; Chordata; Actinopteri; Cyprinodontiformes; Poeciliidae.
GAAGAAAGGCAAACUUUCCUGCCAGCAUUUGGAAUCACUGAAUGAACCUUUCUUGGCAGGACGAGAGCACCGGACCGGAUUCAAACUCUGGUUCCUGUUGUGCGGCUCAAGCAACGACGAGGUGCGCAAACUGUUGUGCACCUCGCUGCCGCCCGCCGCUCUCCCUGAGAACCAGCAGUUUCAAGUGGAAGAGAGGCGUACGUGGUGCACCACACAUUCUCGUUUUGACGACGCAAGAUGUGCGAGAACUGAAUGGCAGUAGAUGGGAUCUGUAACUCAACCGCGCUAUGCAAAUGCCUCUUCGUCCCCCUCCACCUCCUCCUCCUCCUCCUCCCCUCAUGCUCCUUCCUCCACCUCCACUAGGCGCUCAGGCGCACCGACCUGUAUAUAUAGGCUGAUCUCGGAGAGCCUAUCCGACCCGGGCGGGUUGCGCGCACUCUGGUCGGGAUGCUGGUCCAACAACCUAAAAACACGUGAGCUGAGCUGAUGAGACGACUUGAUCGCGAAUUCGGAUGAUGGGGUUUCUCUCUAUAGCUGUAGUGCGCUCAAAUGUGUAUUUUUAAUUUUUUUUUUUCCCUCCCUCUCACGGUGGCUCCUGGACUCCUCCUCCUCCCCCUAGCCUCCCUCCCUCCCUCCCUCCCUCACUCACUCCUCCCUCCUCCUCCCCCCUUUCUCUUUUCGCAACAUUGACGCAACCAAAAAAUACUGGAACAAAAGAAACAACUUCCUUGAAGCUUUGCUGAAACUGCACUUAGUCGGAGAAUGGCAGCUUGCUGUCAACUUGCCUCGCUCGGGUGGGAAACAUCGAGGUGAGGGGUGGCCCGGCUGGCAGCGACUGAGUGAAGAGAGAGCGAGAGAGAGAGAGCGGGAGAGAGAGAGAGAGAGAGAUGCGGGCGAAGACUCCGGAAUAGACAACCGAAUGGAGACGUAAGACGUGGAUGCUGAUCGUCUCCGCCCUCUAACUUAGAUGAAUCCAUGAUGCGGAUUUGAAGCGCGGGCCAAAGAGGAGGAGCAGAUCUUUCUGGUGACGUUGUAGCAGCACAGAAUGGUUUGUGGGUUACUCUGAGAUGCAGGCCAUACCGUGCUGCCGCAAUAAAGCCUGAAUAACACAACAUGCAAGCGAUCAGCUUUAAGCCCCUCCAGAUGCCUUUGAUGACCACUGGCUGCCUGAGCUCAUGUUAUCCAGAUAGAUGUGUUGCUGAUGACGAUGAUGAAACGGUUCCAGGGCAUUUAUCAUUCUGACUCGCUGGUCGCCUUACUGUAGCAGCACGUAAAUAUUGGAGUUAAGACUAGCUGAAGUCUCCAGUAUUGAUCGUGCUGCUGAAGCAAAGCUGACCACUCGCACACUCUGAAUGCUCUCAGACCCUCUGUAGGUGAUGAUGGGUUACAUUACAUGGAAUUACAUUUUUUAUGUUUAUUUUCAAUUAACUGUUCUGUUUGAAGAUUUUAAGCCUAUCUUGUUAUAUGUGAAUAUUUUUGAGAAAUAAAAACAUUAACUGAUCUCGUUUGUGUUUUUUUUUUUUUUUUUUUUCCUAAUAACGGCAUGCUUUAAUUUUAUGUUAACUUUUUUUUUGUUCGCUACAGUAACACUAAACACGUUACAAGUGCUGACUCUUAAUAUUUUUCCACUGUUGUCCCAGAAUUACAGCCGCUAAGCAGAGGUGCUCACCGGGGCCUGUAUGGCCUCUGCUGCGCUGCUCAGAUGGUCGUCUGAUCAGUUUAUACAAACAGAAGUAUCUGAUUUAAACAUUGAAUUCGUUAGGGUUUUCUUCCCGAGUUUUUAAGAAUAAAAACUGGAUUUUUAUCAUGACACUCGUGUAUUUUUGAGUGAUCUUGCACUUUUAAGUAUUUGCGGCCGCUAUAAAUCCCCCAACGUAGAGGACAGUCUACGGUUACGUGAAAUCCUGCGGUUUCGUAACUCGUCAUCCCCCCUUCCCCGCUACCAGACUCCAUUUUAAGCGCAGUUGGACGCGAAAGCGUUUCAUGCAUUAGCUAUGCGCUCAGAAUAUUACUGGCAAUAAUCUCAAAUUUGAUUCACCAAUACUUUUUUUUUUUUUUUGCCUUGUGGGUUGUGAAAAUUACGCCCUUUCCCCUUUUUUUCUAAAAUAUAUACACUUGUAUGAAAUGGAAGAUAUUAAAAGCUAUAUAACACCUGCUUCACAAAUAUUAAAACUUCCCUUUGAUAUCUAAAUUAAAAAGUGACCUUUUUCUGCUGGUUUAUUAAAUAAUUACAUUUUCAUUAACAAACAAGAUUUUCGUAACUUAGUCUUGAGUGCGGGGCCGAUAUUUUGUCCGCUUUAUAGCGUUUAUAUUCACUCCGGCCUUUUCGGGCCUCUUCAUAUAUAUAUAUUUAUAUUAAAAAUAAAAUAAUAGCCUAUUAAACGUCAUAAUCAUUUAAGUAAAUGUUACUUUUUUUACAAAUAAAAAAUCCGGAAUUCAUUUUAAUGCAGAAAUAUUUGCGGUUUUAUGUAAAAAGCCCGUUUCACCUUGAAGUCACCGUGCUGAAAAUAUGGCCUAUAUUUUAAUGUUUUACUUUGAAGCGAAUUGCCUGUAUUUUUACAUUUCUCCAGACACUCUUAAAUACCGACUGAUCAUUAUAACGUGACAAAACUAAACAUGUCCACAUAAAAAUAUUCAAAUUCUUAAUUUUCGAGCUGUAACGUAGCAAUUUUCCUUUACACUGAUUUUAUUAUUAAAAAUCGCCUGUUUUAAGUUUGUGAAACCUUUUAAAAUAUUCUUCGGUGUGAUUAAAAUAACAGUUUUCCCCGUCAUUACACUUCCCCUUAGCGUUCACGUGAAUAAAUACAUUGCGCCAUUUUGUUCUAAAUUUUGGUUUUACUUUUCUGGUGUGUAAUCUGCACGCAAAGAAGUGCACUAUUCAUCCUGACAAUAUAUUUUUUUUUUAACAGACCUUGGUACUCAGGUUUCAUAACUGGGAAAGAGGCUUAUUCCUAACCUCUAUAUUGCGCAUAUUUAUUUAUUAACUGGAGGGCUUUGCGCUUUGUCUUUUUGUUAUGCCAUGAAUAUAGCUUCACCUUUUAGUUUUUAUAUAGGAAAAAAAACAUGAAUUAUAUAAAAAAGGUGGCAUGGGAUUUUAAAUAUUAAUGCCCCAUCCUAUAUUUGCCUGGCAACAGUAAGCUAUAUAUGUUAUGGGCUUAUGUACAGAUCUAUGUGACGUAUAUGCGGUCUUUGCUGACAUCACUGCUUCACUUCAUGGUCUGUCACCCCCCCUCCCCCCCUUCCACAUAAGGGAUCCCCGCAUAUACCAGAGUAAAAAAUAAAUAAAUUUAAGUGAUUCUAAUAAUUCCCGCCUUAAUUGUGUGAUCUGACCUCUUUUUCAAUACACACUGCUGGUGGGGAAAACAAUCUCCAAUCCGAAAUGUGCAGAAUUUUCCUUGCGUUGCCACUGCUCACAUAAAUACAUUUUUUUUUUAAAUCAAGAUUUUUAGGGAGUAAAUUAUGUUCUGCGCCAUUUAUUUAAACAAGGGAGCACCUUCUAGAUUUCGCACUGCCAGCCGUGAAACGAAAGAGCCGCAGAAGAUCAGAUCUGAUUUUUACAAGAAAAAAAAAAAACAAGUGGGCUUAUCAGCAUUUAUUAAGUGCUGAGGUUGAGCAUCUGACUGCUGCUACACGUUGAGCAAUUUUUCUGAAAACAUGACCGAGCAGUGUCUUCGUACCUUCCUCUGCAGCCCGCUGAAUAUUUCACACGGGCCCUGUUACGUAACGAUUGUAACCUUGAAGAGGUUGCAGCAUCACUGUGGCGCGCGGAGCGCUGAGUUUCUCCCAUCAUCACAGCGGCAGCCUGAUCUCACCCUGUCGCUCUGAAGGAAAACAACCAUAGCAGUGACUCGGGGAUUUUUCAAAUUUAUUUUCCAAAAUUCAAGUAAAAAAAAAAAAAUAUCGUUAGUGUACAAAAUUAAAUGAAUAAAAAAGAAAACAUAAUUAGGUUUAGACUGCCUCUGAGGAUUUAGAAGAGGAUUGUUUGAUUUUCAGGCUUCAUUAAGGACCAAAGGUUAAAAAAAAAAAA